RNAcentral lists this ribosomal RNA (577 nucleotides) under uncultured bacterium. Its description in RNAcentral is "partial 16S ribosomal RNA". It matches the Rfam family "Bacterial small subunit ribosomal RNA", at positions 355 to 926 of the family's 1533-position model. The record is from RNAcentral.
UGGGGAAUUUUGGACAAUGGGCGAAAGCCUGAUCCAGCAAUGCCGCGUGUGUGAAGAAGGCCUUCGGGUUGUAAAGCACUUUUGUCCGGAAAGAAAUCCUUGGCUCUAAUACAGUCGGGGGAUGACGGUACCGGAAGAAUAAGCACCGGCUAACUACGUGCCAGCAGCCGCGGUAAUACGUAGGGUGCAAGCGUUAAUCGGAAUUAUUGGGCGUAAAGCGUGCGCAGGCGGUUUGCUAAGACCGAUGUGAAAUCCCCGGGCUCAACCUGGGAACUGCAUUGGUGACUGGCAGGCUAGAGUAUGGCAGAGGGGGGUAGAAUUCCACGUGUAGCAGUGAAAUGCGUAGAGAUGUGGAGGAAUACCGAUGGCGAAGGCAGCCCCCUGGGCCAAUACUGACGCUCAUGCACGAAAGCGUGGGGAGCAAACAGGAUUAGAUACCCUGGUAGUCCACGCCCUAAACGAUGUCAACUAGUUGUUGGGGAUUCAUUUCCUUAGUAACGUAGCUAACGCGUGAAGUUGACCGCCUGGGGAGUACGGUCGCAAGAUUAAAACUCAAUGAAUUGACGGGUCAUAGCUG